AACUUGUAACUUUUCUCUGCACCAGAGAGGCUUUCACAGGCUAGUUCCAUCACACUGCUCACUAAGGCCUCAUUUCUUUCUAGGGGUGGUGACAGAAUCCGUGGAUUCCAUAAAAAACAUGUGACCUCUGCAGGUGUUGGCAGAGCUUCAAGAGGGAACACUACACGCGAUGGAACGUUUUGAACUAGUUGGAUUCCUCCUUCCUCUGUAAUCUCGCUUCUGUAAAAUUAGAGAUGUGAAAAUUAACUUAAAAAAAUGAAAAAACUUCAAGAAAAAGCAUCAUCGUCCAAGUACAGCACCACUCGUAAAAAUACUCAGCAAAAUACACACUAAAACGAGUAAUAAAUAAAUAAAUAAAUAAAUAUCCACCACUUUCAACAACACUGAGGUGGAUAAUUGUUUUAGCACAUAACACCCAGAUACAAAAAAAUUAGUAUAUUUCUUUCAA
Molecule: long non-coding RNA, 448 nt
Organism: Stylophora pistillata
Lineage: Eukaryota; Metazoa; Cnidaria; Anthozoa; Scleractinia; Pocilloporidae
Source: RefSeq, a predicted model, not a curated record